UCAAGCUACUAAGGGCAUGCGGGGGAUGUCUUGGUGUUGAAAGUAGGGGCGUGGAAGUCUGCGAUAAGCUUGGGGUAGCCGACAAACGGGCGUUGAUCCCAUGAUUCCCUAUCCAACCUGGUGAACUGAAACAUCUAAGUAACCAGAGGAAAAGAAAGAAAAAUCGAUUCCGUCAGUAGCGGCGAGCGAAAGCGGAAUAGCCCAAACCUCAAGGGUUUCCCUUGGGGGGUUGUAGGAGCUUCAGAUGCUGAUGUGAAAAGGUAGUAGAACUGAAUUGGAAUGUUCGACCACAGAGGGUGACAGUCCCGUAAACGAAACCUGAUUAACUGAAGUAGAAGAUUUCCUGAGUAGGUCCAGUCACGUGAAACCUGGAUUGAAUCCGCGGGGACCAUCCCGCAAGGCUAAAUACUCUUCAACGACCGAUAGCUUACUAAGUAGCGUGAGUGAAAGAUGAAAAGAACCCCUGCUAGGGGAGGGAAAGAACCUGAAACCGUGUGCCUACAAGCGGUCGGAGCACUAUAGAAAGCUUGCUUUCCAUGUGUGACGGCGUGCCUUUUGCAUAAUGAUCCGGCGAGUUACGUUUUGUGGCAGGUUAAGGCCUUACGGGCUGGAGCCAGAGGGAAACCGAGUGUUAAUAGCGCGAUUUUGUCAUAGGGCGUAGACGCGAAACUGGAGUGAUCUAUCCAUGGGCAGGUUGAAGCGCGGGUUAUACUGCGUGGAGGACCGAACCCACUUGGGUUGAAAACCGAGGGGAUGACCUGUGGAGAGGAGUGAAAGUCUAAUCAAACCCAGAGAUAGCUCGUUCUCUUCGAAAUAGCUUUUGGGCUAGCCUCGUGCCACUAUUUGUUGGGGGUAGAGACACUGAUUUGGAUGGGGGCCCUCCGGGGUACCUCACUGAGCCAAACUCCGAAUACCAACAAAACUAUCACGGGAGUCAGUCCGCGGGGGAUAAGCUUCGCGGUCGAGAGGGAAACAACCCAGACCAUCGGCUAAGGUCCCGAAGUUAUAUUUAGUCACUAAGGAAGUUGAAGUGCUGAGACAGCCAGGAUGUUGGCUUAGAAGCAGCCACCAUUUAAAAAGUGCGUAACAGCUUACUGGUCGAGCAUUUCUGCGCCGAUAAUGAACGGGAGUAAAUAUAACACCGAAGCCGUGGACUCAGAUUUAUCUGAGUGGUAGAAGAGCGCUGUACAGCAGAUACAAGCCAUACCGAAAGGAGUGGUCGCGGGCUGUACAGGUGAUUAUGCCGGAAUGAGUAACGAUAAAACAGGUGAGAAUCCUGUUCGCCGAAAGCCUAAGGUUUCCUGGGGAAGGUAAUUCCGCCCAGGGUUAGCCGGUACCUUAGUCGAGGCUGAAGAGCGUAGACGAUGGAUAGCAGGUCAAUAUUCCUGCGCCGGUGUGUGGACUGAUGGAGGGACGGCGUCCGAAGUACUAGCGGAUCGGAUAGAAAUGUCCGUUGCCGACAUCCGAGUUGGGGUGGGUUAAAAGACACCCGGAAUACAAGGAUUAGGCUUAGGCCUUUUUUGGCUAUGUAGUACGAAGGACGUCCAAGAAAAGCUCCUAGGGUUGAAGCACACUGACCGUACUAAAACUGACACAGGUAGGCGAGUCGAGUAGACUAAGGCGCUCGGGAGAACGGUGGUUAAGGAACUCUGCAAAAUGGCCCCGUAAGUUCGCGAUAAGGGGUGCCGGUGAGAGCCGGCCACAGUAAAUCGGCUUCUUCGACUGUUUAUCAAAAACACAGGUCUCUGCAAACACGUAAGUGGACGUAUAGAGACUGACGCCUGCCCGGUGCUGGUAGGUUAAGGAAGUGGGUUAGCUCUUCGGAGUGAAGCUCCCGACCGAAGCCCCAGUAAACGGCGGCCGUAACUAUGACGGUCCUAAGGUAGCGAAGUUCCUUGUCGGGUAAGUUCCGACCUGC
This 1918-nucleotide ribosomal RNA is filed under the name metagenome. RNAcentral describes it as "bacterial LSU rRNA". It matches the Rfam family "Bacterial large subunit ribosomal RNA", at positions 3 to 1991 of the family's 2925-position model. The record is from RNAcentral.